CCGAGUCCCGACGCACCUCCCCCCGGUGCCGGGGCUCUCCCGAGCCGGGCUUCGGCGCCACUCCCCCCUGGCGCCGGGGCCCGGCUCCUUU
This 91-nucleotide non-coding RNA is filed under the name Streptomyces sp. NRRL F-5122. RNAcentral describes it as "Streptomyces RNA 3202". It matches the Rfam family "Streptomyces RNA 3202". Rfam says of the family: Identified by deep sequencing of transcriptome at the end of exponential growth phase. Appears smaller on northern blot than sequencing transcript. Lineage: Bacteria; Bacillati; Actinomycetota; Actinomycetes; Kitasatosporales; Streptomycetaceae. The record is from Rfam by way of RNAcentral.